This 446-nucleotide ribosomal RNA is filed under the name uncultured bacterium. Its description in RNAcentral is "bacterial SSU rRNA". It matches the Rfam family "Bacterial small subunit ribosomal RNA", at positions 355 to 799 of the family's 1533-position model. The record is from RNAcentral.
UAGGGAAUAUUGGGCAAUGGAGGGAACUCUGACCCAGCCAUGCCGCGUGCAGGAUGAAGGCGUUAUGCGUUGUAAACUGCUUUUAUAUAGGAAGAAAUAGUCCUUGCGAGGAAAGUUGACGGUACUAUAUGAAUAAGCACCGGCUAACUCCGUGCCAGCAGCCGCGGUAAUACGGAGGGUGCAAGCGUUGUCCGGAUUUAUUGGGUUUAAAGGGUGCGUAGGCGGUUUAUUAAGUCAGUGGUGAAAGACGGUCGCUCAACGAUUGCAGUGCCAUUGAUACUGGUAGACUUGAGUAUGAUUGAGGUAGCUGGAAUGGAUAGUGUAGCGGUGAAAUGCAUAGAUAUUAUCCAGAACACCAAUUGCGUAGGCAAGUUACUAAGUCAUAACUGACGCUGAGGCACGAAAGUGUGGGUAUCAAACAGGAUUAGAUACCCACGUAGUCCCUG